AUACUUACCGGGCAGGGGAAAUACCAUGAUCACAAAGGCAGUUUUCCCAGGGUGAGGCUUAUCAGUUGCACCCUGGAUGCGCUGACCCCUGUGAUUUCUCCAAAUGUGGGAAACUCAAAUGCCAAAUUUGUGGUAGUGGGGGACUCCGUUCAUGCUGUCCCCUG
Molecule: small nuclear RNA, 164 nt
Organism: Manis pentadactyla (Chinese pangolin)
Lineage: Eukaryota; Metazoa; Chordata; Mammalia; Pholidota; Manidae
Product: U1 spliceosomal RNA
Exons: 1
Source: RefSeq, a predicted model, not a curated record